GACGAACGCUGGCGGCGCGCCUAACACAUGCAAGUCGAACGGUGAAGAGGAGCUUGCUCCUCGGAUCAGUGGCGGACGGGUGAGUAACACGUGAGCAACCUGGCUCUAAGAGGGGGACAACAGUUGGAACGACUGCUAAUACCGCAUAAGCCCACGGCUCGGCAUCGAGCAGAGGGAAAGGAGCAAUCCGCUUGAGAUGGCCUCGCGUCCGAUUAGCUAGUUGGUGAGGUAAUGGCCCACCAAGGCGACGAUCGGUAGCCGGACUGAGAGGUUGAACGGCCACAUUGGGACUGAGACACGGCCCAGACUCCUACGGGAGGCAGCAGUGGGGAAUAAUUGCACAAUGGGGGAAACCCUGAUGCAGCGACGCCGCGUGGAGGAAGAAGGUCUUCGGAUUGUAAACUCCUGUUGUUGGGAAGAUAAUGACGGUACCAACAAGGAAGUGACGGCUAACUACGUGCCAGCAGCCGCGGU
RNAcentral lists this ribosomal RNA (474 nucleotides) under uncultured bacterium. RNAcentral's name for it is "bacterial SSU rRNA". It matches the Rfam family "Bacterial small subunit ribosomal RNA", at positions 28 to 521 of the family's 1533-position model. The record is from RNAcentral.